GUUGGGCAUUGGACGUAGAAGAACCUCUCCUUCCAGUUAUGGAUAGAAGAGGGGGCGCCUUUCAGCAACCCCUUUCUACCAAACUGGAGGGACAAGUACCAUCAAUCCUUUGCCGAGGGAUGGCGCUUGAAGGUGUAGAAGUUCCUAAACAAAGGAAGAGUCGGCCGAACUUCGGCUAAACUACAAAGGGAAAAAAAUCCUAUCAAAAAUCUAAAGGAGUUCGGCACGAUGGAAACUAGAG
This 241-nucleotide long non-coding RNA is filed under the name Elaeis guineensis (African oil palm). Its description in RNAcentral is "long non-coding RNA (EGUI_LNC071229)". The record is from RNAcentral. Lineage: Eukaryota; Viridiplantae; Streptophyta; Magnoliopsida; Arecales; Arecaceae.